RNAcentral lists this unclassified non-coding RNA (613 nucleotides) under Hevea brasiliensis (rubber tree). The record is from RNAcentral. Lineage: Eukaryota; Viridiplantae; Streptophyta; Magnoliopsida; Malpighiales; Euphorbiaceae.
UCAAAGCCCAUGCAGCCUCAAAUUGUAAUUGGGGCAGAUCAUGCCUUCCAAGAAAUUCCACAAACCGUGGGACAACACCUGCUUUAAUUACUUCAUCAAUUGGAGGACUUCGUUCAAUUGAUAAUAGCUUUCUAAACUGAGUAGUUGCUUCCAACUGCAAAGCUGGAUCAUCAGACCACACUCCUUGAACCAUUACAGGAAUACUUUCCAACCGCUUUUCGAUGGCGGCGGCAUUUUGAGAUGCAUCGAGUAAAUGUUGGGACUGAAGCAAGAGCCCUUCUCUUCGCUUCUUCAAAAGAUUGUCUUCUCGCUUAUUCUUUCUGAUCUCUACAAGAUUGUCCUCUCUCCUCCUUCUCGCCUCGUCCGCAUCAACACCCGUCUUGUACGCUUUCUUCCUCACCUCUGUUCUCGUGCUCGGCCUCAGCGACAUUUUUUUUCCCUCUCAAAGAUCUAAUCUGCGUGUGUUUGGGGAAAUGUCACAGAGAGAAGGGCUAAUUCGCCAAGAUUUUCAAUAUAAUGGGCGGGUCUUCAAAGUUAUGUGCUGUUUUGUGGCAAGACUUCUGGGUUGAGGAAGUCGCGUGCAAGUGGGUUUUGCUUUUCCUUUUUUUUUUUU